GGGUAAGCCUGGAAUAGAAAGGGCAGAUAAAUAUCUGUUCACCAGAGAGUCGGGAUAGGUGGGAGCCGAUGAACAGACUUAUACUGAAGAUCCUCUUGGAGACGCUAUGCUGAAAGAGAACAGUAAGCAUUGCCGGUUUCUUCCGUUACCAAGACUAGACGUAUGAUGCGUCUUCUAAAGUGCCGUAUAUAUACGGAAUUAGGGUGGUACCGCGAUUCGACUCGUCCCUUCA
Molecule: non-coding RNA, 232 nt
Filed under: Bacillus smithii
Lineage: Bacteria; Bacillati; Bacillota; Bacilli; Caryophanales; Bacillaceae
Description: T-box sequence
Rfam family: T-box leader
About the family: Uncharged tRNA acts as the effector for transcription antitermination of genes in the T-box leader family. T-boxes are found upstream of many aminoacyl-tRNA synthetase genes and some amino acid biosynthetic genes usually in Gram-positive bacteria.
Source: RNAcentral